Molecule: ribosomal RNA, 484 nt
Filed under: uncultured bacterium
Lineage: Bacteria
Description: partial 16S ribosomal RNA
Rfam family: Bacterial small subunit ribosomal RNA
Source: RNAcentral
AUUGAACGCUGGCGGCAGGCCUAACACAUGCAAGUCGAGCGGAUGAAGGGAGCUUGCUCCUGGAUUCAGCGGCGGACGGGUGAGUAAUGCCUAGGAAUCUGCCUGGUAGUGGGGGAUAACGUCCGGAAACGGGCGCUAAUACCGCAUACGUCCUGAGGGAGAAAGUGGGGGAUCUUCGGACCUCACGCUAUCAGAUGAGCCUAGGUCGGAUUAGCUAGUUGGUGGGGUAAAGGCCUACCAAGGCGACGAUCCGUAACUGGUCUGAGAGGAUGAUCAGUCACACUGGAACUGAGACACGGUCCAGACUCCUACGGGAGGCAGCAGUGGGGAAUAUUGGACAAUGGGCGAAAGCCUGAUCCAGCCAUGCCGCGUGUGGGAAGAAGGUCUUCGGAUUGUAAAGCACUUUAAGUUGGGAGGAAGGGCAGUAAGUUAAUACCUUGCUGUUUUGACGUUACCAACAGAAUAAGCACCGGCUAACUUCGUG